GCCUGCGGGCUUGGUGCAGCGGUGCUGUGGAAGUCAUCUCAGCACACGCAGGCCUUGGCCCCAGCAAGACCAGACCCAGGUACGGACUGAGCAUGCUCAGUCCUGGGGCGUUCCUGGUAGCUCUGCUGACCAGCCAACCUGACGCCAGCUGCCCCGGCCUCGUGUCCACGUGCAGUGUGGGCAGCCACCAGCUGAUGGGGUCACCUGAGGUCCAGAUGCUGCCCAGGCUCUUGGCCUGGGAUGGACCAGCUGGACGUGGACAGCCACCUAGCGCAGUGCUUGGCUGAGGGCAUGGAGGACGUGGCGUGGUGAGCUGCUGCCUCGGGGGCCCUGGGAGGCCCGUGCUGGGUGCUGCCGUCCGCUCACAGCACCUUUACUCCAGGAUGUGAGCUGCUCCCGAAGGCCCGCCUUGUUGCUGACCCAAAUACACGUGCGUCUGACUUAA
Long non-coding RNA from Dipodomys ordii (Ord's kangaroo rat), 445 nucleotides. RefSeq lists it as uncharacterized. NCBI's taxonomy places the organism in Eukaryota, Metazoa, Chordata, Mammalia, Rodentia, Heteromyidae. The record is from RefSeq and is a predicted model, not a curated record. The transcript is spliced from 2 exons.